RNAcentral lists this ribosomal RNA (492 nucleotides) under uncultured bacterium. Its description in RNAcentral is "partial 16S ribosomal RNA". It matches the Rfam family "Bacterial small subunit ribosomal RNA", at positions 29 to 507 of the family's 1533-position model. The record is from RNAcentral.
AGUGAACGCUGGCGGUAGGCCUAACACAUGCAAGUCGAACGGCAGCACAGUAAGAGCUUGCUCUUACGGGUGGCGAGUGGCGGACGGGUGAGGAAUACAUCGGAAUCUACUUUUUCGUGGGGGAUAACGUAGGGAAACUUACGCUAAUACCGCAUACGACCUGCGGGUGAAAACAGGGGAUCUUCGGACCUUGCGCGAUUGAAUGAGCCGAUGUCGGAUUAGCUAGUUGGCGGGGUAAAGGCCCACCAAGGCGACGAUCCGUAGCUGGUCUGAGAGGAUGAUCAGCCACACUGGAACUGAGACACGGUCCAGACUCCUACGGGAGGCAGCAGUGGGGAAUAUUGGACAAUGGGCGCAAGCCUGAUCCAGCCAUACCGCGUGGGUGAAGAAGGCCUUCGGGUUGUAAAGCCCUUUUGUUGGGAAAGAAAAGCAGCAGGUUAAUACCCCGCUGUUCUGACGGUACCCAAAGAAUAAGCACCGGCUAACUUCGUG